GGGGCUAUAGCUCAGCUGGGAGACCUCUUGCAUGGCAUGCAAGAGGUCAGCGGUUCGAUCCCGCUUAGCUCCACCA
This 76-nucleotide transfer RNA is filed under the name Escherichia coli. Its description in RNAcentral is "tRNA-Ala". It matches the Rfam family "tRNA". From Rfam's summary of the family: Transfer RNA (tRNA) molecules are approximately 80 nucleotides in length. Their secondary structure includes four short double-helical elements and three loops (D, anti-codon, and T loops). RNAcentral also lists the same sequence under 3 other names. The record is from RNAcentral. Lineage: Bacteria; Pseudomonadati; Pseudomonadota; Gammaproteobacteria; Enterobacterales; Enterobacteriaceae.